GCCUGGUCUGGUAGAGAUGGUGUGUGCGUGGAUUUGAGGGAGGCAGACCCUUCCCUGGGUUUCUCUACAGAGAGGAAGAGACCAUAGGUCUCUUGUUCGAACAAAAAUGAGAGAAAGGGCAGAAUCCCUAAUGUUUCAUCUGGGAAGAAGGCCUUGGGCCUAGGUCGCUUCUUUGCUUCCUGGCGACAUGCAACUCCAAUUCACACCUCCCUCCAUUUCUAAAAAAAAUAAAAAAGAAAGGGAGACCUUGGGCCUGACCAGCAAUUACCACACGCGUCCCCAAUUUUCAUCAGCUGCACCCCUGUCUUUGGGCCCAGACAAAUUUCGAGCUGCGCCCCCAUUUUUGGCCAUACACCCCUACUAGACUACAAGACCAGAAGCUUCAAUAUUUUUCAGCGCCCCUGGUUUUUAAUCUCUGCACCCCUAUUCUUAUUGGGC
This 438-nucleotide long non-coding RNA is filed under the name Vigna radiata. RNAcentral's name for it is "long non-coding RNA (VRAD_LNC001092)". Lineage: Eukaryota; Viridiplantae; Streptophyta; Magnoliopsida; Fabales; Fabaceae. The record is from RNAcentral.